UACGUAGGGUGCGAGCGUUGUCCGGAAUUAUUGGGCGUAAAGAGCUCGUAGGCGGUCUGUCGCGUCUGCUGUGAAAACCCGAGGCUCAACCUCGGGCCUGCAGUGGGUACGGGCAGACUAGAGUGCGGUAGGGGAGAAUGGAAUUCCUGGUGUAGCGGUGGAAUGCGCAGAUAUCAGGAGGAACACCGGUGGCGAAGGCGGGUCUCUGGGCCGUUACUGACGCUGAGACGCGAAAGCGUGGGGAGCGAACAGG
RNAcentral lists this ribosomal RNA (253 nucleotides) under uncultured bacterium. RNAcentral's name for it is "partial 16S ribosomal RNA". It matches the Rfam family "Bacterial small subunit ribosomal RNA", at positions 524 to 776 of the family's 1533-position model. The record is from RNAcentral.